Small nuclear RNA from Prolemur simus (greater bamboo lemur), 165 nucleotides. Its record names the gene U1. It matches the Rfam family "U1 spliceosomal RNA". Rfam says of the family: U1 is a small nuclear RNA (snRNA) component of the spliceosome (involved in pre-mRNA splicing). Its 5' end forms complementary base pairs with the 5' splice junction, thus defining the 5' donor site of an intron. Lineage: Eukaryota; Metazoa; Chordata; Mammalia; Primates; Lemuridae. The record is from Ensembl.
AUAUUUACCUGGCAGUGGAGACACCAUGAUCACAAAGGUGGUUUCCCCAGGACAAGGCUUAUCCAUUGCACUCCAGAAGUGCUGACCCCUGCAAUUUCCCCAAAUGUGGGAAGCAUGUUCACACUUAUAAGUGGGGGCUAAGCAAUAGGUACACAUACUCAUACA